AUGAAAGAAGUGGAGGUAGGAAACCUGUCACUCGGAGUGAUCUGUUCAGAUGUUGGCUUCAAACGUGGUGUGAGCUGCUUCUUGAACCUCCACGCGGUGAAGUUGCAAUGGCUCAACUCGGCAAACUCGGUAAAUAUUGCUCUCAUUACUAAGGACAUCUCCCAGGAAAUCUCUGACUUCCGACCAAUUAGUCUUACCCAUGAUGUGGCCAAGCUCGCCAAGACCCUUGCCACUAGGCUGACUCCCCACAUGAAUGAUAUAGUGUUCAUCAGAGUGAUUUUGUCAAGAAGAGAAGCAUAUAUAACAACUUCAUCUUUCGUGAUUGGAUCUCAACACUUCUCUUUUCGGCGUCCUCAAGAGUCUUGCUCAAUGGACUUGCCAGUGAUACUGACCAAGCAUGAUCAUGGGCUUCGGCAGGGUGACCGAGUGUCCCCCUUGCUUUUCAUGCUCGCCACUGACUUGCUGCACCAUGUCCUCAACAAGCCACUUCUCAAGGAAAGCUUCACCCUUUGUCAGGAGGCACAUGCGAUGCUGCUGUUUUUUAUGCCCCCUUCAAGGACUUUCAAUUCCUCGUCACCAUGCUCGCAUCCUUCGUACUGCUACAACAGAAAGAAACACGAGAAGGAUAAACGAUGUAUACCCUCCAAUCGGCCACGCGGCGGUGGUGGCGGUGGCAGCAGCCGCGGCAUCCUCGGCGGCCUUCUUGUCGGCCUCGGCCUUCUCAGCGGCGGCACAGUCGGCGUCGGUCGACAUGGUGAUGACGAAGAUACGUGGGCUGAACCCACGUCCAAGUCGGUAGCCCAUGAUCCGACGUCUCAGAUCGUGGCCCUACCUUUCAAAGACUCUCCGUUCCUGACCGGCAAAAAGAAGCGCAUAGGAUACUGCUACAAUAGAAAGAAACACGAGAAGGAUAAACGAUGUAUACCCUCCAAUCGGCCAUGCGGCGGUGGUGGCGGUGGCAGCAGCCGCGGCAUCCUCGGCGGCCUUCUUGUUGUCCUCGGCCUUCUCAGCGGCGGCACGGUCGGCGUCGGUCGACAUGGUGAUGACGAAGGUGAUGCGGACUUUUACCAGGAUUCACUUCAACAUCUUGAAGACAACACCGCUGGUAAAUUGGCAUCUUGGAGAGGAAAGCAUGUCGCUAUCUCGCGUUGCAUGACCUUGCUCAAGGUGGUCCUUCGGACGGGGUUGAUGGUGACAAUUUUUUGGGAGUCCUUCUGGCUUCUACCACAUUACACCGCAGGACCUUGUGAUGUAGAGACCUACGUGGCCGCGCCCGCGGUGCCGUCCCGCGCACUGCAUGCGGGCGUGCAUGGCGCAUGGUCCGCGACCUCCUCCAACACGUACACCACCCUGCCUCCAGCUGCGUACGGCACCCCAGCUCCAGGCGCAUCGCUCGCGCAUGGUGCGUACGGCGCCCCGCCUUCAAGCACGUCGCCCACGGAUCCAGUCACGUACAACGCCCUGUCUCCAGCCGCAUACUGCGCGUACGACGCUCCACCCCGACUGCGUCCAACGCGUUGA
This 1521-nucleotide ribosomal RNA is filed under the name Triticum aestivum (bread wheat). Its description in RNAcentral is "partial small subunit ribosomal RNA". Lineage: Eukaryota; Viridiplantae; Streptophyta; Magnoliopsida; Poales; Poaceae. The record is from RNAcentral.